Long non-coding RNA from Hyla sarda, 673 nucleotides. RefSeq lists it as uncharacterized. The transcript is spliced from 3 exons. The record is from RefSeq and is a predicted model, not a curated record. Lineage: Eukaryota; Metazoa; Chordata; Amphibia; Anura; Hylidae.
CUGCUCUGUAUUCUAAGGACACAGGUCUGCACAGGAGAAGGAACACAGAGAAGAUAAGUGUUAUCUGAAGGGGAGGAUGAAAAGGUUUCAGGCUCCAUCACAAUGCGUCCCGUGUCCAGCAAAUAAAUAUAUCAUUGUGGGUGUUAUCAGGACAAUACAUACCGCAGAGGCCCAUACUCCAACUUACACUUCUGUUUGGAAGACUGCCUAGCAUCUGUCUAUAAUGAUAGUGCAAGCUUCCCUGUCAUCACUCAUUCCAGAAUGGUGGAAGACAAAAUACAUCUCCUGAGGCCUAUUGGCCGGAAGUUCCCAGAAUAACUAUGGGAGAAUAUGGACUAACUAUCAGCAGGAAUACAAACCCCAAAUACUCGAUAGAUUGCGACUGCCAAGAGAAAGGACAUACUUUUAGACAUGUUAACCUUGUGGUUGCUAAAAUGCAAAUAUAAUUCCUAAGUACUAAGCAAUACAAGGUCUCUCUGUGGGGAGGAAAUAAAAAGGAGCAAGAAGUCCUGUAUUUUUUGUCAGAUCUGAUACAGACCUAACCUCAGGAUAGGGGACAACUACCUGAUUGCAGGCGGUCUUACUGCUGGGAUCCCCUGCAAAUGAGAACAAGGUUACAAGUCACCAGUUAAAAUGCAACGGAGGGAUGCACAUGUGCGUUAUGCUUCAUUCA